Molecule: ribosomal RNA, 359 nt
Filed under: uncultured bacterium
Lineage: Bacteria
Description: partial 16S ribosomal RNA
Rfam family: Bacterial small subunit ribosomal RNA
Source: RNAcentral
CCUACGGGGUGCUGCAGUGAGGAAUAUUGGUCAAUGGACGGAAGUCUGAACCAGCCAUGCCGCGUGCAGGAAGACGGCUCUAUGAGUUGUAAACUGCUUUUGUACAAGGGUAAACCUGAAUACGUGUAUCUAGCUGAAAGUACUGGACGAAUAAGGAUCGGCUAACUCCGUGCCAGCAGCCGCGGUAAUACGGAGGAUCCAAGCGUUAUCCGGAUUUAUUGGGUUUAAAGGGUGCGUAGGCGGAUUGAUAAGUUAGAGGUGAAAUGUCCGGGCUUAACCCGGGAACUGCCUCUAAUACUGUUGAUCUAGAGAGUAGGUGCGGUAGGCGGAAUGUAUGGUGUAGCGGUGAAAUGCUUAGA